GGAUACCCACAUAAAAGGAGGAGCUGCUCCAUUAUGGCCCCGAGUCAUGUGCGGAUAGCCGCGAGGCUAUACGUGAUGCAGUUGACAGGGGAAAGCGCAGGCCAGCCAUUUACCUACGAAAUCACCCCAAUCACCGGGGUCUGUUCAUAGCCUGCUCGCAACGCGAAAGAAUC
RNAcentral lists this non-coding RNA (173 nucleotides) under Syntrophobacter sp. SbD2. Lineage: Bacteria; Pseudomonadati; Thermodesulfobacteriota; Syntrophobacteria; Syntrophobacterales; Syntrophobacteraceae. The record is from RNAcentral.